RNAcentral lists this ribosomal RNA (577 nucleotides) under uncultured Gammaproteobacteria bacterium. Its description in RNAcentral is "bacterial SSU rRNA". It matches the Rfam family "Bacterial small subunit ribosomal RNA", at positions 75 to 649 of the family's 1533-position model. Lineage: Bacteria; Pseudomonadati; Pseudomonadota; Gammaproteobacteria. The record is from RNAcentral.
GGGGGCAACCCCGAGUAGAGUGGCGGACGGGUGAGUAACGCGUAGGAAUCUACCUGGUAGUGGGGGACAACCCGGCGAAAGCCGGGCUAAUACCGCAUACGAUCCACGGAUGAAAGCAGGGGACCGCAAGGCCUUGCGCUAUCAGAUGAGCCUGCGUCGGAUUAGCUAGUUGGUGAGGUAAAGGCUCACCAAGGCGACGAUCCGUAGCUGGUUUGAGAGAACGACCAGCCACACUGGGACUGAGACACGGCCCAGACUCCUACGGGAGGCAGCAGUGGGGAAUAUUGGACAAUGGGGGCAACCCUCGAUCCAGCAAUGCCGCGUGUGUGAAGAAGGCCUUCGGGUUGUAAAGCACUUUCGGUGGGGACAAACAAGGCGGAGCUAACAUCUCCGUCCCUGAUGGUACCCAAAGAAGAAGCACCGGCUAACUCUGUGCCAGCAGCCGCGGUAAUACAGAGGGUGCAAGCGUUAAUCGGAAUUACUGGGCGUAAAGCGUGCGUAGGUGGUUUGUUAAGUCAGGUGUGAAAUCCUCGGGCUCAACCCGGGAGCUGCGCUUGAUACUGACAGACUCGAGUGU